RNAcentral lists this ribosomal RNA (637 nucleotides) under uncultured bacterium. RNAcentral describes it as "bacterial SSU rRNA". It matches the Rfam family "Bacterial small subunit ribosomal RNA", at positions 869 to 1501 of the family's 1533-position model. The record is from RNAcentral.
CCGCCUGGGGAGUACGGCCGCAAGGUUGAACUCAAAGGAAUUGACGGGGGCCCGCACAAGCGGUGGAGUAUGUGGUUUAAUUCGAUGCAACGCGAAGAACCUUACCUGGCCUUGACAUGCUAGGAAUCCUGUAGAGAUAUGGGAGUGCCCGCAAGGGAACCUAGACACAGGUGCUGCAUGGCUGUCGUCAGCUCGUGUCGUGAGGUGUUCGGUUAAGUCCGGCAACGAGCGCAACCCAUAUCAUUAGUUGCCAACAGGUAAUGCUGGGGACUCUAAUGAGACUGCCCGUGUCAAGCGGGAGGAAGGCGUGGACGACGUCAAGUCAGUAUGGCCCUUACACCCAGGGCUGCACACGUGCUACAAUGGCGACUACAGAAGGCAGCAAUACCGCGAGGUGGAGCAAAUCCGUUAAAAGUCGCCCCAGUUCGGAUUGGAGUCUGCAACUCGACUCCAUGAAGUCGGAAUCGCUAGUAAAGGCGUAUCAGCUACGACGCCUUGAAUACGUUCCCGGGCCUUGUACACACCGCCCGUCACAUCAUGGGAGCCUGGUGCACCCGAAGCCGCCGUACCAACUGCUUGCAGAGGAAGGCGUCGAAGGUGUGCCCGGUGACUGGGAUGAAGUCGUAAUAAGGUAGCC